This 372-nucleotide ribosomal RNA is filed under the name uncultured organism. RNAcentral's name for it is "bacterial SSU rRNA". It matches the Rfam family "Bacterial small subunit ribosomal RNA", at positions 526 to 896 of the family's 1533-position model. The record is from RNAcentral.
CGAAGGGUGCAAGCGUUACUCGGAAUUACUGGGCGUAAAGCGUGCGUAGGUGGUUCGUUAAGUCUGUCGUGAAAGCCCCGGGCUCAACCUGGGAAUGGCGAUGGAUACUGGCGAGCUAGAGUGCGGUAGAGGAGAGUGGAAUUCCCGGUGUAGCAGUGAAAUGCGUAGAGAUCGGGAGGAACAUCAGUUGCGAAGGCGGCUCUCUGGACCAGCACUGACACUGAGGCACGAAAGCGUGGGGAGCAAACAGGAUUAGAUACCCUGGUAGUCCACGCCCUAAACGAUGCGAACUGGACGUUGGGAGCAAUCAGGCUCUCAGUGUCGAAGCUAACGCGUUAAGUUCGCCGCCUGGGGAGUACGGUCGCAAGACUG